CACAUGCAAGUCGAACGGUGAAGCAGGAGCUUGCUCUUGUGGAUCAGUGGCGAACGGGUGAGUAACACGUGAGCAACCUGCCCCUGACUCUGGGAUAAGCGCUGGAAACGGCGUCUAAUACUGGAUAUGUGACGUGACCGCAUGGUCUGCGUUUGGAAAGAUUUUUCGGUUGGGGAUGGGCUCGCGGCCUAUCAGCUUGUUGGUGAGGUAAUGGCUCACCAAGGCGUCGACGGGUAGCCGGCCUGAGAGGGUGACCGGCCACACUGGGACUGAGACACGGCCCAGACUCCUACGGGAGGCAGCAGUGGGGAAUAUUGCACAAUGGGCGAAAGCCUGAUGCAGCAACGCCGCGUGAGGGAUGACGGCCUUCGGGUUGUAAACCUCUUUUAGCAGGGAAGAAGCGAAAGUGACGGUACCUGCAGAAAAAGCGCCGGCUAACUACGUGCCAGCAGCCGCGGUAAUACGUAGGGCGCAAGCGUUAUCCGGAAUUAUUGGGCGUAAAGAGCUCGUAGGCGGUUUGUCGCGUCUGCUGUGAAAUCCCGAGGCUCAACCUCGGGCCUGCAGUGG
This 567-nucleotide ribosomal RNA is filed under the name Microbacterium paraoxydans. RNAcentral describes it as "bacterial SSU rRNA". It matches the Rfam family "Bacterial small subunit ribosomal RNA", at positions 52 to 629 of the family's 1533-position model. Lineage: Bacteria; Bacillati; Actinomycetota; Actinomycetes; Micrococcales; Microbacteriaceae. The record is from RNAcentral.